Molecule: long non-coding RNA, 3163 nt
Filed under: Gadus morhua (Atlantic cod)
Lineage: Eukaryota; Metazoa; Chordata; Actinopteri; Gadiformes; Gadidae
Description: lncRNA (ENSGMOG00000026872.1)
Source: RNAcentral
AUGAUGCCAUGGGAGAUGAUGGCAGUGAAGGAGGUGCUUUUGUGGUGUUUUCUGGGCGCUCUGCUCGUGUGGGUUGGAUCGUUGUGUGUUCCCUCUCAGUGUCUUGAUUGUGAAAAAACAACAAAAGUUCCGGCACUGAACGAAUCCUCAGAGGUUUGCGAUGUCUGCGCAAAUAACACAUGCUUUUCUGUCCUCAAACUUGAUGUUAUGGGCUCACACCAGUCGUACUCCCUAACACCAGAUGCCACGGCCCAUCUGAACCCCAGCUCCGAAUAUUCCGUGAAUGAGGGAGACAACCUCAUUCUGCACUGCUACCACAACCUGCCGCUAGUGGACCUGUUUGAGUGGCUGCGAGACGGUGAAGUGCUCGAAUACUCGAAUGUCAGCAAAGUCACACUGAAGGCGUUCAGCACGGCCAAGGGAGCCUACCGAUGCAGGGUCCGAAGUCCCUGUGGCAACUUCACCUCCGAGGAACAGCAGCUGGAUGUUGAAGACGGCAGUGUGCUCUUGGUGGUACUGUGUGGUUCCUGUGCCGUGGUGUUGGUGCUGGGGAUGGGAGCCUCCAUGAAGUACAAGCAGAAGAAAGAGCAAGCUGCUCAAAAGAGGCGCCAGGAGGAGCGCGCCAAGGCGCUCCAGAUGACCUCAAGCAUGACUCCGAGAAAUACCUGAAAAAGUUUGUUCAUUGUCGUGAUGGGUGUGAACUGGGCCAGGGGCGGUUCUAGGUUGCAUUAACAUCCGGGGCUUAGCCCAGAGGGAAAAGAAAAGGAUCCCUUUGGGCAUACAAUUUAAUUUUUUUUGUCCGCUUUAUUGUGCAUGCAAAUUUUUUCUGAAUGCUUUACCUAAAUAAACAAAAAUACGCGGUUUAUUAUAGCUUUAAAUAGCUACCUGACUGCUUUGCUGCUUAUCCCUAAACAUCUACAGCUCAAUUCAAGUUAUUUAAGAGUAAAUGAAUGCAAGUGGGAUUAUAUAUAUAUAUAUAUAUAUAUAUAUAUAUAUAUAUAUAUAUAUAUAUAUAUAUAUAUAUAUAUAUAUAUAUAGAGGGAGAGAGAGAGAGAGAGAAAAUAUUAUUCUUUUAUUUUAUUCAUUUUACCCAAAAAUUAUAUUCGGGGCUAAAUAAAUAAUAUCCGGCGCUUUAGCCCCGAAUAAAACAGCCUUGUGAUGCCACUGAGUAUAAGUAAACAGGACACUGCCUAAGUAUGAGUAUAAGUACCCAUGAUACUGGCUCAGUAUGAGUAUCAGUACACAGGAUACUGGCUCAGUAUGAGUAUAAGUACACAGGAUACUGGCUCAGUAUGAGUAUAAGUACACAUGUUACUGGCUCAGUAUGAGUAUAAGUACCCAUGAUACUGGCUCAGUAUCCUUUGUGGCCCCCUGCCAUCCGUCGGACCCCGUCCUCCGCCACCUGACGUCCGGCCCGUCGAUGGGAACGCCGUCGACGGCAGCGGUGUUUCUAGGUUUCAUAAACAUCCGGGGCUUAGGAAAAUGAAAAUGCCAAAAUUAUUUCUAUGCUUCAUUUUGCAUGAAUUUUUUUCAUAAUGCUUUACCUAAAUAAACGAAAUAUAGUUUAUGAUAGCUUAAAAUAGCUACCUGACUGCUGUGCUGCUUAUCCCCAAAUGUCUAAAGUUCCAUUCAAGUUAUUUCAGAGUAAAAUGAAUACAAGUGAGACAGACUUUACUAGUGGUGAAACGGAUCAGUGUGUCCACGGUUCGGUUCAGAUAACCGUUUUGGGCCUCGGUUUCGGAUACGGUUCGGAUUAGGAUCAUGUCCGUGAUAGUAAAAAGGCAGACUUUUUUUUGACGGAGGGUUUGGGGGAGUAACACAAAAAUGAAUGAGACCCACAGGCUAUUUGCAAUGUGUUAAUUGACUGCAAUCAGACAACUUGCAAGGCUUUUUUGUGCAAUAAAUGUUCCCCUAAAUGCAUUUGAAAACAUGGUGCACUGAGUGUAACAUGUAAGGGAUAACGGCCGACAAGGCUUAGAACUCUGGCGACGAGCGCAGCAUGAAGCCAGAGUUGCCUCUACCUGUCCAUUAUUUCCAUCGAACCGGUCGACCUCGAAGGCCGUUAUCCCGCUUAUCACCCGUUUGUAUUUAUCUCCCGUAUAUUUAGAAUAUAAUUGUAUCAAUUACUUUCUUUAAAUUUAGGAAUCGUUUAAAGCCCAGUUUGUUUUGAACGCUGACAGGCUGAAGGGAGGGGCGGGAAAAGUCUCAUUGGCUCGGGCAGCACUGGAGAGAAUGCAUUCCGCUGGGUCCUAAACACCCUUUGGUAUCGGACGUUGGCUACAGUAGGCAAAAUACGCUACAUAAGGCAAUGCCUUCAUGAAACCGAAAUCCGCGGAUCUCCAGAAUGCUCCGAACUGUGGUAAACGAACCGAACGGAUUCGGAUACAAUUCGAAUCCGCUGCAGGCCUAGACUUUACACACACAUAUCUGACUGGGGAUAGGAUAGGUUAAUUCACUUGAGGUGGUAAAAACGGUUUAUCUUGCCAGACGGACUAUCUAGACUACUUAUAAAUACUAAUACUAAUUAUAAAUAUUUGUACUUUUAAUUUUUUUAACCCAAAAAUUAUUUUCAGGGCUAAUUAAACAGUGUCUGUGAUUAGGAUGUCUGCGUUCAGGGCCUAAUCGACCAGGUAAACACGAGUCCUGCCGUCCUCCGAGCUCCAGGAAACCCACCAAGUUCCAGGUGGUUAAUAUUUAGCUCAGACGUCGUUCACUUAAUACAUUCAUGAUCCAAAAUCUUACCGCAGCUGACCUCAGAUCUGUUGAACUGGGCUUUUAUUUCUUUCACUUCAUAUGCUUCGACCAAUCCUGUUGCUGGAGGCAGUUAUUUGCAGAAAAACUAGACCAGCACAUGAACAUUUUAAAAUGUAAAUACAGAUAUUCCUGAAUAAUUAAGGUGUAUGACAGCUCCCUCUGCUAGACAGUCUCACACCAAACUACAUUUUUCAUUUGAACCAACGUAGCUAUAGUACAUUGAUGUGAGACGGGUUGGUGGAUUGAACGUGUUGUAGUAGCAGAGAAUGGCCUGCAGGGCAGUAUGUACAUUGUUAAAUACAUGAAUAGGCUUCAAUUUUGUAGCAAUAUGGAGGUUUAAUAUUUUUACAAAUGGAUUAUGUGAACAUUGCUGAAUAACAAUCAUGUAUAUUAAAUGUAUUGCAGGAGU